UUAGGAAUCUUGGACAAUGGGCGCAAGCCUGAUCCAGCCAUGCCGCGUGAGUGAUGAAGGCCCUAGGGUUGUAAAGCUCUUUCAGCGGGGAAGAUAAUGACGGUACCCGCAGAAGAAGCCCCGGCUAACUUCGUGCCAGCAGCCGCGGUAAUACGAAGGGGGCUAGCGUUGCUCGGAAUCACUGGGCGUAAAGCGCACGUAGGCGGCUUUCUAAGUCAGGGGUGAAAUCCCGGAGCUCAACUCCGGAACUGCCUUUGAUACUGGAAAGCUUGAGUCCGGGAGAGGUGAGUGGAACUGCGAGUGUAGAGGUGAAAUUCGUAGAUAUUCGCAAGAACACCAGUGGCGAAGGCGGCUCACUGGCCCGGUACUGACGCUG
This 376-nucleotide ribosomal RNA is filed under the name uncultured bacterium. RNAcentral describes it as "bacterial SSU rRNA". It matches the Rfam family "Bacterial small subunit ribosomal RNA", at positions 355 to 748 of the family's 1533-position model. The record is from RNAcentral.